UACGUAGGGUGCAAGCGUUGUCCGGAAUUAUUGGGCGUAAAGAGCUUGUAGGCGGUUUGUCGCGUCUGCUGUGAAAUUUCGGGGCUCAACCCCGAACUUGCAGUGGGUACGGGCAGACUAGAGUGCGGUAGGGGAGACUGGAAUUCCUGGUGUAGCGGUGAAAUGCGCAGAUAUCAGGAGGAACACCGAUGGCGAAGGCAGCUCGCUGGGACGGUACUGACGCUGAGGCGCGAAAGCGUGGGGAGCAAACAGG
This 253-nucleotide ribosomal RNA is filed under the name uncultured bacterium. Its description in RNAcentral is "partial 16S ribosomal RNA". It matches the Rfam family "Bacterial small subunit ribosomal RNA", at positions 524 to 776 of the family's 1533-position model. The record is from RNAcentral.